CAAUAGCGUAUAUUUAAGUUGUUGCAGUUAAAAAGCUCGUAGUUGGAUUUCGGUUAAGAGCGACCGGUCCGCCGUUUGGUGUGCACUGGUUGGUUUUAACUUCCUGUAGAGGACGUGCUCUGGGUUUAACGACCUGGACUCGGAGUCUACGUGGUUACUUUGAAAAAAUUAGAGUGUUCAAAGCGGGCUUACGCUUGAAUAUUUCAGCAUGGAAUAACACUAUAGGACUCCUGUCCUAUUUCGUUGGUCUCGGGACGGGAGUAAUGAUUAGGAGGAACAGUUGGGGGCAUUCGUAUUUCAUUGUCAGAGGUGAAAUUCUUGGAUUUAUGAAAGACGAACUUCUGCGAAAGCAUUUGCCAAGGAUGUUUNCAUUA
This 374-nucleotide ribosomal RNA is filed under the name uncultured eukaryote. RNAcentral's name for it is "partial 18S ribosomal RNA". It matches the Rfam family "Eukaryotic small subunit ribosomal RNA", at positions 592 to 975 of the family's 1831-position model. The record is from RNAcentral.